RNAcentral lists this ribosomal RNA (955 nucleotides) under human gut metagenome. RNAcentral describes it as "bacterial SSU rRNA". It matches the Rfam family "Bacterial small subunit ribosomal RNA", at positions 95 to 1054 of the family's 1533-position model. The record is from RNAcentral.
CCGGCGCACGGGUGAGUAACACGUAUCCAACCUGCCGUCUACUCUUGGACAGCCUUCUGAAAGGAAGAUUAAUACAAGAUGGCAUCAUGAGUCCGCAUGUUCACAUGAUUAAAGGUAUUCCGGUAGACGAUGGGGAUGCGUUCCAUUAGAUAGUAGGCGGGGUAACGGCCCACCUAGCCAACGAUGGAUAGGGGUUCUGAGAGGAAGGUCCCCCACAUUGGAACUGAGACACGGUCCAAACUCCUACGGGAGGCAGCAGUGAGGAAUAUUGGUCAAUGGACGAGAGUCUGAACCAGCCAAGUAGCGUGAAGGAUGACUGCCCUAUGGGUUGUAAACUUCUUUUAUAAAGGAAUAAAGUCGGGUAUGGAUACCCGUUUGCAUGUACUUUAUGAAUAAGGAUCGGCUAACUCCGUGCCAGCAGCCGCGGUAAUACGGAGGAUCCGAGCGUUAUCCGGAUUUAUUGGGUUUAAAGGGAGCGCAGACGGGUCGUUAAGUCAGCUGUGAAAGUUUGGGGCUCAACCUUAAAAUUGCAGUUGAUACUGGCGUCCUUGAGUGCGGUUGAGGUGUGCGGAAUUCGUGGUGUAGCGGUGAAAUGCUUAGAUAUCACGAAGAACCCCGAUUGCGAAGGCAGCUUGCUAAACUGUAACUGACGUUCAUGCUCGAAAGUGUGGGUAUCAAACAGGAUUAGAUACCCUGGUAGUCCACACGGUAAACGAUGGAUACUCGCUGUUGGCGAUAUACUGUCAGCGGCUUAGCGAAAGCGUUAAGUAUCCCACCUGGGGAGUACGCCGGCAACGGUGAAACUCAAAGGAAUUGACGGGGGCCCGCACAAGCGGAGGAACAUGUGGUUUAAUUCGAUGAUACGCGAGGAACCUUACCCGGGCUUAAAUUGCAGACGAAUUACGAGGAAACUUGUAAGCCGCAAGGCGUCUGUGAAGGUGCUGCAUGGUUGUCG